This 253-nucleotide ribosomal RNA is filed under the name uncultured bacterium. RNAcentral's name for it is "partial 16S ribosomal RNA". It matches the Rfam family "Bacterial small subunit ribosomal RNA", at positions 524 to 776 of the family's 1533-position model. The record is from RNAcentral.
UACGUAGGGACCAAGCGUUGUUCGGAUUUACUGGGCGUAAAGGGCGCGUAGGCGGCGUGGUAAGUCACUUGUGAAAUCUCUGAGCUUAACUCAGAACGGCCAAGUGAUACUGCUGUGCUAGAGUGCAGAAGGGGCAAUCGGAAUUCUUGGUGUAGCGGUGAAAUGCGUAGAUAUCAGGAGGAACACCGGUGGCGAAGGCGGAUCUCUGGGCCGAUACUGACGCUGAGGAGCGAAAGCGUGGGGAGCGAACAGG